GACGAACGCUGGCGGCGUGCUUAACACAUGCAAGUCGAACGGAAAGGCCCUGCUUUUGUGGGGGGCUCGAGUGGCGAACGGGUGAGUAACACGGGAGUAACCUGCCCUUGACUUGGGGAUAACUUCAGGAAACGGGGGCUAAUACCGGAUAGGAGCUCCUGCUGCAUGGUGGGGGUUGGAAAGUUUCGGCGGUUGGGGAUGGACUCGCGGCUUAUCAGCUUGUGGGUGGGGUAGUGGCUUACCAAGGCUUUGACGGGUCGCCGGCCUGAGAGGGUGACCGGCCACAUUGGGACUGAGAUACGGCCCAGACUCCUACGGGAGGCAGCAGUGGGGAAUAUUGCACAAUGGGCGGGAGCCUGAUGCAGCAACGCCGCGUGCGGGAUGACGGCCUUCGGGUUGUAAACCGCUUUCGCCUGUGACGAAGCGUGAGUGACGGUAAUGGGUAAAGAAGCACCGGCUAACUACGUG
RNAcentral lists this ribosomal RNA (468 nucleotides) under uncultured bacterium. RNAcentral describes it as "partial 16S ribosomal RNA". It matches the Rfam family "Bacterial small subunit ribosomal RNA", at positions 28 to 507 of the family's 1533-position model. The record is from RNAcentral.